Molecule: ribosomal RNA, 439 nt
Filed under: uncultured bacterium
Lineage: Bacteria
Description: partial 16S ribosomal RNA
Rfam family: Bacterial small subunit ribosomal RNA
Source: RNAcentral
CCUACGGGCGGCAGCAGUGGGGAAUAUUGCACAAUGGGCGAAAGCCUGAUGCAGCAACGCCGCGUGAGCGAUGACUGCCUUCGGGUCGUAAAGCUCUUUCCUCAAGGAAGAUAAUGACGGUACUUGAGGCGUUAGCCCCGGCUAACUACGUGCCAGCAGCCGCUGUAAUACGUAGGGGGCUAGCGGUAUCCGGAAUGACUGGGCGAAAAGGGUGCGUAGGUGGUUUCUUAAGUCAGAGGUGAAAGGCUACGGCUCAACCGUAGUAAGCCUUUGAAACUGGGGAACUUGAGUGCAGGAGAGGAGAGUGGAAUUCCUAGUGUAGCGGUGAAAUGCGUAGAUAUUAGGAGGAACACCAGUUGCGAAGGCGGCUCUCUGGACUGUAACUGACACUGAGGCACGAAAGCGUGGGGAGCAAACAGGAUUAGAUACCCUGGUAGUC